UUGAUUAUGACGUACUUGUACUGAUUGAGAUUUUAACACGAAGUGAGUGGCGAACGGGUGAGUAACACGUGGGUAACCUGCCCAGAAGUAGGGGAUAACACCUGGAAACAGAUGCUAAUACCGUAUAACAGAGAAAACCGCAUGGUUUUCUUUUAAAAGAUGGCUCUGCUAUCACUUCUGGAUGGACCCGCGGCGUAUUAGCUAGUUGGUGAGGUAAAGGCUCACCAAGGCAGUGAUACGUAGCCGACCUGAGAGGGUAAUCGGCCACAUUGGGACUGAGACACGGCCCAGACUCCUACGGGAGGCAGCAGUAGGGAAUCUUCCACAAUGGACGCAAGUCUGAUGGAGCAACGCCGCGUGAGUGAAGAAGGGUUUCGGCUCGUAAAGCUCUGUUGUUAAAGAAGAACGUGGGUAAGAGUAACUGUUUACCCAGUGACGGUAUUUAACCAGAAAGCCACGGCUAACUACGUGCCAGCAGCCGCGGUAAUACGUAGGUGGCAAGCGUUAUCCGGAUUUAUUGGGCGUAAAGCGAGCGCAGGCGGUCUUUUAAGUCUAAUGUGAAAGCCUUCGGCUCAACCGAAGAAGUGCAUUGGAAACUGGGAGACUUGAGUGCAGAAGAGGACAGUGGAACUCCAUGUGUAGCGGUGAAAUGCGUAGAUAUAUGGAAGAACACCAGUGGCGAAGGCGGCUGUCUGGUCUGCAACUGACGCUGAGGCUCGAAAGCAUGGGUAGCGAACAGGAUUAGAUACCCUGGUAGUCCAUGCCGUAAACGAUGAUUACUAAGUGUUGGAGGGUUUCCGCCCUUCAGUGCUGCAGCUAACGCAUUAAGUAAUCCGCCUGGGGAGUACGACCGCAAGGUUGAAACUCAAAAGAAUUGACGGGGGCCCGCACAAGCGGUGGAGCAUGUGGUUUAAUUCGAAGCUACGCGAAGAACCUUACCAGGUCUUGACAUCUUCUGACAGUCUAAGAGAUUAGAGGUUCCCUUCGGGGACAGAAUGACAGGUGGUGCAUGGUUGUCGUCAGCUCGUGUCGUGAGAUGUUGGGUUAAGUCCCGCAACGAGCGCACCCUUAUACUAGUUGCCAGCAUUAAGUUGG
This 1095-nucleotide ribosomal RNA is filed under the name Pediococcus pentosaceus. RNAcentral's name for it is "bacterial SSU rRNA". It matches the Rfam family "Bacterial small subunit ribosomal RNA", at positions 62 to 1134 of the family's 1533-position model. Lineage: Bacteria; Bacillati; Bacillota; Bacilli; Lactobacillales; Lactobacillaceae. The record is from RNAcentral.